RNAcentral lists this ribosomal RNA (374 nucleotides) under uncultured Bacteroidota bacterium. RNAcentral describes it as "bacterial SSU rRNA". It matches the Rfam family "Bacterial small subunit ribosomal RNA", at positions 356 to 724 of the family's 1533-position model. The record is from RNAcentral. Lineage: Bacteria; Pseudomonadati; Bacteroidota.
GAGGAAUAUUGGGCAAUGGAGGCAACUCUGACCCAGCCAUGCCGCGUGCAGGAAGACUGCCCUAUGGGUUGUAAACUGCUUUUAUACAGGAAGAAACACACCUACGUGUAGGUGCUUGACGGUACUGUAAGAAUAAGGACCGGCUAACUCCGUGCCAGCAGCCGCGGUAAUACGGAGGGKCCGAGCGUUAUCCGGAAUCAUUGGGUUUAAAGGGUCSGCAGGCGGUCAAUUAAGUCAGGGUUGAAAUCCCACUAGCUCAACUAUGGMACUGCCUUUGAUACUGGUUSACUUGAGUCAUAGUGGAAGUAGAUAGAAUGUGUGAGUGUAGCGGUGAAAUGCAUAGAUAUUACACAGAAUACCGAUUGCGAAGGCAG